UGUUCAUAAUAUAAUAAGCACUUAAUAAUCCUAAAUUCAUCGUGUUUUAUUGCGCAUCGUACAUAAAAGCCAUCUUAAUUACUUUUGAAAUUCAUAUUUCUAAGCAAGACUGAAAAUAUCAUCUGAUUGAUAUGACGUCAAAAGUAAGUUCGGCUUCGAAAAUAGUGCGUAGCAAUUAUAUAGCUGCCAUUUUAACUUGUCGCUUUUUAAUUUUAGUUGAUAUAAAAUGGUGCCUACGAGCAGCGACGAGAGAUGUCUAUCAUAAAACAAACAUUCACUAUACGAAAAGCCACAUUUGAACAUCCUGUAAUAGUGGUUGAGAUUGAAGAUGAGGUGAUCAUCGGGAAGGACAUAAUAUCGAGUUAAGCUUUAAGCAGUUAGUCCUGAAGAUAGACCCUGAGGAAGUUGUUUUACAUCAUGACAGAGAUUACAGUUGUUGGGUCCUACUUCUAAAGAAUACCAGAUGAAAUGAUACCAGAACCGCGAGAUCAUUUUGGAGGUCGUAGUCAUGAACCCGAAAUGCAUGACAUGGCUGUUGAUCGAAGGAUAGCGGUUAGAAAGAUCUUUGUUCGUAAUGGAAGCAGUAUUUCUGUGGAGUUUUAGCAAUACUUCGACAAGUUUCGCAUGUGGAAAAGAACCGGGAAGCCAUUUUGAAAGAAUUAUAUGAGCUGGUAUGAUCGUCAGAAACCGGUCUAAGGCCAGACCAAAGAAGAGCGCUAAGACAGAUAUUGAGAUGUUUUUGAUCAUGUGAAGAAAGAGAGGAUUAACAUAGUCCAACACAAAAUCAAUAAAAAACAAUGCUCACUUGUCAAAAGAGAGGAGACUGAUAACAUUACUGAGAGUAUGGCCAAAGAAGGUAUCAUAGAACUUUCUAGCAAUCUAUGGUCUUCACCUGUGGUACUGGUAAAGAAGAAAGACGGCUCCCCAGAUUUUUCGUAGAUUACUGGGAGCUUAAUAUCCUGACUAAAAAGCAGAGCUAUCCCCUUCCUCGCUUCAUUGGCGCUUGGGACACCCUGGCUGGAUCGAAAAUCUUUUCCAUGCUAGACCUGCAAAGUGGAUACUGCUAAGUUAAGUUGGCCCCUGAAGAUCGGAAAAAAACGGCUUUUAGGAUAAAUGUUGGACUAAGGUAUAAUUUGAUUUGGUACAGUUCUCCUUCCACUCUUGAACAGUUGAUGAAAACGAUUCUAAGUGGACUGUCCUGAAAAAUAUUAUUGUAGCAGGAAAAUCGUUUAAGGACCACAUGAAAAUGUUUGAGGCUACGAGGUUCUGCACUUAAGUUGAGCCCAAAUUAAUGUAAUGUGUUUCAAAGAACUGUGCGGUAUCUGGGACACUUCGUUUCCAGCCAAGGAAUUGCAAGUGACAAGGCAAAGGUGCACACUGUCAAAGAUUGACCUACGGUAAAUAUGUAUUGGAAUUGUCACUAAUAAGAAAACUAAAACUAGGCAUUUUUAUUAAUUAAAACUACAAUAAAACAAAUUCAGACAGAGUAGAGACGGUAGUGUAAGAACAUGAACUUUAAAGCUCUUUUAAAUUCUGGCAAUGUUUUAGGAGUUCUUACAUUUCCAGGUAAGUGAUUACAAUUUUUAAGAGGCGUCCAUCCCGGACAUCAGAUAAUCUGACAAAAGAAAUAUAACAUUUAUUUGCAUUUCUAGUACUAAAAUAAUUGAGAUCUUCACACUUUACAAGAUUACCAGAACUUUUAAAGACUUCACAAGCAUAUGGGAACAUAAAGAUGUUUAUGACGGUUGAGAUUUUUUCCUUUUUAAAUAGAUUGAUAUAGAACACGACUUCCUAAAUAAAAGACUAAAAAACCACCGAAUAAUAAUUUAUUAUUCACAUAUUAGUACUCUCUCAACAUGGCAAGAAUCUCCCCAAGAAGUCAAACCGUAGAAAAUUAUUGAACUAACUGCAGCAUAGUAAAAUGUUGUUAAGAAAAAGGAAUCAACAAAAUCUCUCAAUUGCAAAAUGGUAAAGUUGCUUCGAGACAGCUUAUUUGCACACUGAAAUCGUGUAAUACCUGGUCAUAUCAUAACAAAUAGCUGUCAACAAUAAAACCUAAAAAUUUGGCAGUUUUGUGCUGGAUCGAGUUGUAAGAACCAUCCUCCAGAAGCAAGCUCUUAUCCUAAGUGACUCAGUUUGUGAUGAACACUAUAAAAUUUACCAUAUCUUUAAACUAUUCAAGCAAAGACUAUUUUUGUAACACCAGAAUACAAAUUGCUGGCUAGUGAAUGGAGAUUUUUAUAGUCUUGACUAGCCACUAUGGCUGACGUAUCAUCUGCAAAAAGGGUUACAUAGCAGUAUUCAACAAUAAGAGGCAAAUCAUUUAUAAAUAGCAGAAAGAGGAUGCGUCUCAGCAUGAGCCUCGCAGCUUCUUGGCAGGGAUUAUGCACUUACUACCGACGCUAUGUGAAAGGAUUCGUUAAUAUCGCAAAACUAUUGACCAGACACACAGAAGAAUAUAUAGAAAUACAUUUCCAAUGGCCUCAAGUUUUGCUUUCAAUCACCUAAAGGUGGCUCUGACAAGCGCAUCUAUCCUGAGCCCUAUCUGAAGGAAAAAUUAUACUAGACACCAACGCUAGCAAUGUGGCCUUUGGAGCCGUGCUAUCUCAAAUCCAGGAUGGCCUAAAUGAAUUGGCUAUUUUAGUAAGAUAGAGCAUAACUAUUGCGCCACUUGCCGAGGCUUACUAGUUGUCAAAGCGAUGGAGCACUUCUACCAUUACUUGUAUGGGAGGAAGUUUCUGCUGGGAACUGAUCAUGCCGCUUUGAAAUUGCUCCUGCAAUUUAAAAAUCCGGCGGGUGAAGUGGCAAGAUAAAGAGGUUACAGGAGUUUGACUGUGACACUAAACACCGAGCAUGAAGAAUCCAUGGCGAUGCAAAUGUCUUAUCAAAAAGGGUCUUCUCCUGAAGACUGCAAUCAUUGUCAGCGGGCAGUAAAGAAAGAUGCUCGGUUAAUACCAAAAGUAUAUUUAGUCCCGAUAUCUAGAUAGUUCUAACCUGGUUAAAGCAAGGGAUUAAACCGAUUUAGAAAGAAGUUGCUAAGUAUUCUACCACUAUCAAGUCAUAUUGAGCAUAAUGGAACUCCUUAAUUCAGAAAGGUGGACUCUUGCGACGAAAAACUUUUUUAUCUGUUUAGAAAAUUGUUUGAAAACUAAGGGAAGGAUUUUUACUAGGUCAAUAGCAAGUCAGACGUAAGGGACCAGUGAAGGAAAUGCAUUGUUUGUGAACCAAGUCCUGGACCGCAGAAAAAGCAAAAGGCUUUGAUGUGUCAGUACAACGUGGGUCCCUUUGAAUUGAUUGCUAGUGACGUUACUGGUCCGUUUUCUAAACCAGCAGCAGGAAAUAAGUACAUUGUGAUCAUGUUGGACUACUUUAGCAAAUAGGUUGAGGCAUACCUCUACCAAACCUGGAAGCAUCUACUAUCGCAGACGCCUUAAUAAAAGAAUGGAUCUGCUAAUUUGGUGUACCUUUAAACAUGCAUGCAUUGGGAUAGGUUUCUUCAUUUGUUCCUGCUUGCUUAUCGAUCGGUUAUCGAUGAAAGCACAGGAGAGUGCUCUAUUGUUUCCGGCUUGAAAAAUGAUGGAAAGAGAACUGCGUCUCCCAUACUAUCUAAAGUUUGGUUGCCCGUCAUAAACUGAUGUUGCCGGAGAGGAAUACGACAGGGAGCUGCCUAGAAAAAUGGAUGUCAUUCAUAGUCAAGUACAUAUUUCUAUCUGAGCCAAGAUGCUAGCAAGCAAUUAAAGGACACAUAUGAUAUUAACGCCAAAGAUUAAAGGUAUAACAACGAUUUUUUUCGGUUCGGCUUUAUGGCCCAAAGAGAUGAAAGGGUUUGCCUCCGAAACUUUAAACCUCUUGGGAUGGACCAUAAAAAAUUCUGGAAUGCAUCAAAGAUGUUCUUUACAGAAUACAAAAGACGCUGAGGGAUAAAGUUCGAAUCAUUCGCAUUAACCGACUGGCUUCUUAUUAUGGAAACCACGAAGACGCUGAGCUACAGCAAAUCGAAUUGGAAUAGGAUUUCACAUUUCAUUCAUGUCAUCAUUUUAAUGACCGAUACGGCAUGAUUUGUGAAGUGCAAGUUUUUCGAGUUUUUUUGCAGAAAAUUCGGAAAAAUUUAAGAGCUGCGGUCUAACUACGGCUGGUAGAAAUAUUUUCUUCUUGGUUGCCAAAGAGACGUUACAUGAGAAGCCAACCUAUAACGAAAUUUGGGACUUUACAGAAGGAUAAUGCUCUUACCAUAAAUUGGGCUAGAUCAUAGUAGAUCGUCCCUAUCACUAAGUGGACCGUAAAAAUAAAUUCAAUCACAAGAAGAAAAUGUUAUUAUAAGCCGAAUACGUCCUUUGAUAAAUCCAAAAUUCACAGGAAUGUAAACUUUUAUUACGAAGGGACAACUGAUGCCAAUAGCCAAGUUGACUGAAUUCUGAAAUCUGAAAUCAUCUCCGUUCUCGCAUUUGUCGCUUGUCUUAAACACUGUUAACUGUGCUGCGCCAUGUUGCCAAUUACUUAUUAGAUAGUCAGUGGGGACAACAAAACCCAGUGGUUGCUUUUGCGACCGAUCUAGAUAAUUUUGCUAUAAAUUUAUGAUAAAUACUCUAUUUUCCCUGGUUUUUAAAUGUUUUGUAAAUCCUAUACCUAAUUACUUCUCUACCAGAUCAACAUAUAAAUUACCUACAUUUAUAGGGUUUGUUAGACCUUUGGCAAAAGGGCACUCCGAUUUGACAGUUGUCUAAUUUAUCCUUAAUUCGUUGUCUUUUCCUAUCAAAGCAAAGAAGCAUGCAAAUCGUGUUUUUUCUGUUUACACUACUGAAAUCAGAAAUAUCAAAAAUACAAUUUAGAAGUACAUAUUUAAAAAUACGUAUAUUUAAAAAAAUCUUUCCUGGCAUAGAGUUGUAUUAACAAAAAUUUAUCUAUUUUGUUAUCGUCAUAUUAUGUCCAAUACAUGACGUAAAAUGUCCUAAACGUACGUAUAUAUGAUGUAGAAAUUUGCGGAAAGUGGAAGUCCUAUAUAAGUUCAUAGUACGUAAUACGUCUUAAGAAGUACGCACUGAGCACGAACAUUAUGUCGUCGAGUACGUACAAAAUACGUCUUUAGUGCGUAUCUGUGCUGUUUGGAAUAUUUUUUUUUAAUUCUAUGCAAUUGAAUAAUUUCAAUAGCCAUUCUUUCAUGGCAAUAUAUGUAAAUAUCUCCGGGAAACUUGCGAUCAGCUGACCGAGCCACAAAACCAACUGGCAAUAUUGAUCGCAGCUUUUGCCGGCAUUUUAAAUAAAUUUCAUUCAAUGAAAUUAAAUGUAUUUGUAUAAUCAAAUAAACAUUACAAUUUAAAUUAA
Long non-coding RNA from Anthonomus grandis grandis, 5322 nucleotides. RefSeq lists it as uncharacterized. The transcript has 3 exons. The record is from RefSeq and is a predicted model, not a curated record. NCBI's taxonomy places the organism in Eukaryota, Metazoa, Arthropoda, Insecta, Coleoptera, Curculionidae.